GCUAAACGCGAAGAACCUUACCUGGUCUUGACAUGUCUGGAAUCCCGAAGAGAUUUGGGAGUGCCGCAAGGAACCAGAACACAGGUGCUGCAUGGCUGUCGUCAGCUCGUGUCGUGAGAUGUUGGGUUAAGUCCCGCAACGAGCGCAACCCUUGUCCUUAGUUGCCAUCAUUUAGUUGGGAACUCUAAGGAGACCGCCGGUGACAAACCGGAGGAAGGUGGGAUGGACGUCAAGUCAUCAUGGCCUUUAUGACCAGGGCUACACACGUGCUACAAUGGCAGGUACAGAGGGAAGCCAACCAGCAAUGGGGAGCCGAAUCCCAGAAAGCCUGUCUUAGUCCGGAUUGCAGUCUGCAACUCGACUGCAUGAAGUUGGAAUCGCUAGUAAUCGCAGAUCAGCAUUGCUGCGGUGAAUACGUUCCCGGGUCUUGUACACACCG
This 439-nucleotide ribosomal RNA is filed under the name uncultured bacterium. RNAcentral's name for it is "bacterial SSU rRNA". It matches the Rfam family "Bacterial small subunit ribosomal RNA", at positions 954 to 1392 of the family's 1533-position model. The record is from RNAcentral.